UAUUGAGAUGCGGGAGUUCGGGGCCCAACCUCCCACCCGUGUUGCCCGAACCUAUGUUGCCUCGGCGGGCCCCGCGCCCGCCGACGGCCCCCCUGAACGCUGUCUGAAGUUGCAGUCUGAGACCUAUAACGAAAUUAGUUAAAACUUUCAACAACGGAUCUCUUGGUUCCGGCAUCGAUGAAGAACGCAGCGAAAUGCGAUAACUAAUGUGAAUUGCAGAAUUCAGUGAAUCAUCGAGUCUUUGAACGCACAUUGCGCCCUCUGGUAUUCCGGAGGGCAUGCCUGUCCGAGCGUCAUUGCUGCCCUCAAGCCCGGCUUGUGUGUUGGGCCCCGUCCCCCCCGCCGGGGGGACGGGCCCGAAAGGCAGCGGCGGCACCGCGUCCGGUCCUCGAGCGUAUGGGGCUUCGUCACCCGCUCUAGUAGGCCCGGCCGGCGCCAGCCGACCCCCAACCUUUAAUUAUCUCAGGUUGACCUCGGAUCAGGUAGGGAUACCCGCUGAACUUAAGCAUAUCAAUAGACGGGAAGGAA
RNAcentral lists this ribosomal RNA (528 nucleotides) under Penicillium griseofulvum. RNAcentral describes it as "eukaryotic LSU rRNA". The stretch from base 143 to 296 matches the Rfam family "5.8S ribosomal RNA". The record is from RNAcentral. Lineage: Eukaryota; Fungi; Ascomycota; Eurotiomycetes; Eurotiales; Aspergillaceae.